ACUUUUCUGUGGCUCAGCUGGUAGAGCAUUGUGCUAAAAACACAAAAGGCUUGGGUUCAAAUCUCAGGGAAAGCA
This is a non-coding RNA of Danionella cerebrum, 75 nucleotides long. The record is from the annotation of a GenBank genome assembly. Lineage: Eukaryota; Metazoa; Chordata; Actinopteri; Cypriniformes; Danionidae.